GGGAGGAAGAAGAGGAAGAAGAAGAAGUAGAAGUCAUUAUGCACAGGGAGCUUCGACCUACUGCAGCCCCAACACUGCUUACGGAUUGAUGGAAGAAAACUGCAGCUCUGCGUUCGGAGGACAGCAGCAUCUCCCGUCACCCCUGGACACCUUCCAUUGCAGAGGCUUCUAACUUCCUGAGCAGUUAUGGAGUAAAGGAAUACCAGGCCCUGUGCAGAUCUGUCGUGAGCCUGAUUAUACAGCCCUCCUGGGAACCUGUCUUCUUGCUGCUUCAUAAAGGCUGGGGCUUCUCUCUUUGUUUCCCAUGUAGAGGUGGGGGCUUUGGGGCUGGCCCCUUCUCUGUGAAUUAUUUGCAACCUUUUCCUGCUCCCCUCACCCCACCUCCACCCUCCGUACUAUGACCCUGGGAAGCUGGGAGGGGCUGGAGGGGUGGAAACUGGGAUUCUUGGCAGCUCCUCGCUCCAGUGGUAUGAUCAGGUUGGCCAAGGUAGAGUACACCAGCUAUGAGCUCUACCUCCCUGGUGGUAGGUUUGGGGCUGAUAAGAACCCUGCUUCCUGCUGCUCUGCUCCCUAGAGCACUCCAGAGGCCCACUGUGCCCCUUAAUCCUGUUCUGCGUUUUCAGAUAGCUGCCGCUUCGUGACUAAAGGCCCUGAGGCAUUUCUUUCCUAAGGGGAAGCUGACUGGCACUGUUAAUGCCUCGCACACACACACCACACUGCCACCACCCCCUGGCUACUGUGUGUAGGCUGUCUGUGAAGUAUGAUAAAAAAAAAAUCAAUCAGAACCAAAGAUAAAGAUACAGGAGCAAAGAGGUUUUACUUGGAGAAAGUAGAAACAGAGCAACCUACACGUGUUGCCAUCCCCCUCUAAGAAGAAAACCAGCCAGCACUGGUACACCACGCUCUCCUAGAGCUGACCAGACCCAUCUUGAAGAAAGAUGAUGAGAACCAGGCACUGGGACAGCCAGCCUCAAGAUCUGGACCACAGGGACAUCCGCCAAUUCUGGAUUGCAGGUCACUCCAGAGGCCAAGAAGCAGCAGCACAGGGGUGAAGUCUGUGACCAGGAGCCUGAGAUCAGGGCAGCUCCCAGCCCCAUGCCCGACAUAUGGCCAACAGACACCUGGUUUUAGUCACACCCUGUAAAACCCAGCUGAGACUGAGGGAAACCUGCCACCAGUUCCUGGAUUAGAAGAGGGAAGGCUGUGAUGUCUAUCCAGUGGUUCUCCAUAUGAGCCUCAGGGUCUCUUCUUAAAGCCUGGGCUGGCUACAAAACAAUUCCCCUGCCUCAGUCCCUGAGUGUUGGCGUUAUAGAUAUUUGCUACCAUACUUGGCCUCAGGACGGGGUCUUAUGAUAGUGUUCAAGGGGUCAGGAACCAGAAUCUGAAAGAGUCUGCGGCGUUCCUCUUCCUAUGAGCUCCCUGGAAUGAAGCAAGACCUGCCAAGGUGAAUGGCAGACAAGAGUGACCUCUGAGCUCCAGAUGCAGUGGCCAUGCUGCUUCCAGAGCUCUCUGCAGAGUGUUCAGUGGUGUCUUUCCCCUCGUCUGAUCCUCUCUCAAGCCGUUCGCUGCCCAUGUUCCCUUCUUCAGCCUGUGGCUCUCUGGCCACUUCUGCCUUCAACAAUUAGCAGCCAGACUUGGUACCACCCUGUGCAAGGCAUGCGAUGUUUGCAGUGACCGAGUCAGUGUGGCCAGUGGCACAGAGACGGUCUUGUUGUUAGAUCCUGCUACUCCCCUGGCCUCCAGCGUGGCCUCCAUUGGGAUUUGGGUUUCUUAGGGAAAGUUACCGAGUUGGAUUCUUUAUCACGAGGAUGUAGGCACUUGGUCAAAGAGAAGCAGUGCCUAGCUAAUCAGUGACUAAGGCUGGGACACAUCCUCCCUCGGUUCUGUCACCUAAACCUGGCAUCUUCAAGUUAUGUCCACAAGCAGUCAUCCGGCAGCCUCCUCUGUGGGAAGACAUUGCUUUUCUCCGUGAGUGACUGCCUGAGAGCCACCCAUGGCUGGUGUAGCGCCUCACUCCCCAACAAAGGUUUUUAUAGCAUCUGUGGGAUCCCUUGCGACUGAGCACAUCAGUCAGGCGCCGAGUGGGACAUGGAGGUGACAAGAAGGCACACCGGCACUUGGCUGAGAGGCCGCACGGCCCUUCGGGUCUCACCCUGACUAGACCGUGUCUUCGCUGUCUGGCUGUUCAAGGAUAAGCAAGGACAUUUCCUCAUGGGAGGCUCCUGCGACUUAAGGGAGCUGAGGCUCCAGACAAAACCAUCAGGGGUCUGAGGAAUCCACUGGGACUCGAUGGAUGAAUGAGCUGGCUCCUCCAACAUUUGUUUUGCAUAAAGGCCAUUAUUCAACUACACUUAAGAUGCAAGCCGUUCUUUACUCCCCCUGCUGUAGCUUUAAGACGAAUGGAAGAAAUAAUUGUUCUAACAGGCAUAUGAAUUAUGUGCUGAAACUUAAAUUUGAUUACUGCUUCAUA
RNAcentral lists this small RNA (2470 nucleotides) under Rattus norvegicus (Norway rat). RNAcentral describes it as "uncharacterized LOC102546393". Lineage: Eukaryota; Metazoa; Chordata; Mammalia; Rodentia; Muridae. The record is from RNAcentral.